Fukomys damarensis (Damara mole-rat) is the source of this 147-nucleotide long non-coding RNA. RefSeq lists it as uncharacterized. The transcript is spliced from 3 exons. Lineage: Eukaryota; Metazoa; Chordata; Mammalia; Rodentia; Bathyergidae. The record is from RefSeq and is a predicted model, not a curated record.
GGAGAAUGGAGAGAGAACAUGAGAAUCCGAGUAUUCCCCCUUUAGUAGCAUGUUCCAGAACUACUGCAAGCCAAAACGAUGGGGAAGAGGAGAAAAACCACUAGAAUGCUUCUGGAGAUCUCUGGGUUCCACAGGUGCUAGCUGGAG